UCGAGGUGGGACUAAGCCAUGCCAGUCGAACGACCCGGACUAUGGCGGGGAGUGGCAGACUGCUCAGUAACACGUAGCUAACCUAACCUCGGGACGGAGAUAACCCCGGGAAACUGGGGCUAAUACCCGAUAGGUGUGGAUUCCUGGAAUGGUGCCAUGCCUAAAUAUAAGCGCAUCCAUGUUUGCGUGCAUGCCCGAGGAUGGGGCUGCGGCCGAUCAGGCAGUUGGUGAGGUAACGGCUCACCAAACCUUUGACCGGUACGGGCCAUGAGAGUGGUAGCCCGGAGAUGGGCACUGAGACAAGGGCCCAGGCCCUACGGGGCGCAGCAGGCGCGAAACCUCCACAAUUCACGCAAGUGAGAUGGGGUUACCUCGAGUGCCGCCUGAAGAAGGCGGCUUUUCCACGGUGUAAUGAGCCGUGGGAAUAAGGGGGGGGCAAGACUGGUGUCAGCCGCCGCGGUGACACCAGCCCCCCGAGUGGUGGGGAUGAUUAUUUGGCCUAAAGCGUCCGUAGCCGGCUCUGUAAAUCUCUCGUUAAAUCCAGCGUCCCAAGCGUUGGGCUGCGAGGGAGACUGCAGAGCUAGAGGGUGGGAGAGGUCAGCGGUAUUCCUGGGGUAGGGGCGAAAUCCAUUGAUCCCAGGAGGACCACCAGUGGCGAAGGCUGCUGACUAGAACACGCCUGACGGUGAGGGACGAAAGCUGGGGUAGCGAAUCGGAUUAGAUACCCGAGUAGUCCCAGCCGUAAACGAUGCAGGCUAGGUGUUGGGUCGGCCAAGCGCCGCCUCAGUGCCACAGGGAAGCCAUUAAGCCUGCCGCCUGGGGAGUACGGCCGCAAGGCUGAAACUUAAAGGAAUUGGCGGGGGAGCACCACCAGGCGUGAAGCCUGC
Molecule: ribosomal RNA, 887 nt
Filed under: uncultured archaeon
Lineage: Archaea
Description: bacterial SSU rRNA
Rfam family: Archaeal small subunit ribosomal RNA
Source: RNAcentral